Molecule: non-coding RNA, 155 nt
Filed under: Rhodovastum atsumiense
Lineage: Bacteria; Pseudomonadati; Pseudomonadota; Alphaproteobacteria; Acetobacterales; Acetobacteraceae
Description: 6S / SsrS RNA
Rfam family: 6S / SsrS RNA
About the family: E. coli 6S RNA was the first non coding RNA to be sequenced, but its function was unknown until recently. It consists of 184 nucleotides that fold into an extended hairpin structure with a large single-stranded internal bulge.
Source: Rfam by way of RNAcentral
GCGGGGCUGCCCGGUGCGUCAGGCUUUUCAUCCCCGGGGCCGAUAAGCAUCCUCCGGGAGCUGGCACUGCCGUGAUCGUGGUCAUGGUACCCGGCGCCCACCUGCUCACGCGGGCCUUGGGAGGGUGGUACGCCAACGGCCAUGGCGGCUCCGCA